GAGGGGCCUGCGUCCCAUCAGCUAGUUGGUAAGGUAAUGGCUUACCAAGGCUAUGACGGGUAGGGGACCUGAGAGGGUGGCCCCCCACAAUGGAACUGAAACACGGUCCAUACACCUACGGGUGGCAGCAGUAGGGAAUAUUGGUAAUCUGGGAAACCGGGAACCAGCAACGCCGCGUGCGCGAUGAAGGCCUUCGGGUCGUAAAGCGCUUUUUGAAGGGAUGAGGAAGGACAGUACCUUCAGAAUAAGCCUCGGCUAACUACGUGCCAGCAGCCGCGGUAAAACGUAGGAGGCGAGCGUUAUCCGGAUUUACUGGGCGUAAAGCGUGUGUAGGCGGUUUGAUAAGUUGGAUGUGAAAGCUCCCGGCUCAACUGGGAGAGGUCGUUCAAAACUAUCAGACUCGAGAGUGGUAGAGGGAGGUGGAAUUCCGCGUGUAGUGGUGAAAUGCGUAGAUAUGCGGAGGAACACCAGUGGCGAAAGCGGCCUCCUGGCCCAUUUCUGACGCUCAGACACGAAAGCUAAGGUAGCGAACGGGAUUAGAGACCCCGGUAGUCUUAGCUUAAA
RNAcentral lists this ribosomal RNA (564 nucleotides) under uncultured bacterium. Its description in RNAcentral is "bacterial SSU rRNA". It matches the Rfam family "Bacterial small subunit ribosomal RNA", at positions 224 to 805 of the family's 1533-position model. The record is from RNAcentral.